This 253-nucleotide ribosomal RNA is filed under the name uncultured bacterium. RNAcentral's name for it is "partial 16S ribosomal RNA". It matches the Rfam family "Bacterial small subunit ribosomal RNA", at positions 524 to 776 of the family's 1533-position model. The record is from RNAcentral.
UACGUAGGGGGCUAGCGUUGUCCGGAUUUAUUGGGCGUAAAGAGCGUGUAGGCGGCCAGGUAGGUCUGCUGUGAAAACUCGAGGCUCAACCUCGAGACGUCGGCGGAAACCAUCUGGCUAGAGUCCGGAAGAGGAGAGUGGAAUUCCUGGUGUAGCGGUGAAAUGCGCAGAUAUCAUGAGGAAGACCAGUGGCGAAGGCGGGUCUCUGGACAGUUCCUGACACUGAGACACGAAGGCCAGGGGAGCAAACGGG